ACCUUCGUGGUGUAGUGGUCAGCACGCUCAACGCUUAAUCACGAAGUCCGUGGUUCGAGUCCCGGCGAGGGCA
This 73-nucleotide transfer RNA is filed under the name Stegodyphus mimosarum. It matches the Rfam family "tRNA". Rfam says of the family: Transfer RNA (tRNA) molecules are approximately 80 nucleotides in length. Lineage: Eukaryota; Metazoa; Arthropoda; Arachnida; Araneae; Eresidae. The record is from Rfam by way of RNAcentral.